CCUACGGGAGGCAGCAGUAAGGAAUAUUGCGCAAUGGGCGAAAGCCUGACGCAGCGACGCCGCGUGGGGGAUGAAGGUCUUCGGAUUGUAAACCCCUUUCGGGAGGGAAGAUGGAACGAGCAAUCGUUCGGACGGUACCUCCAGAAGCAGCCACGGCUAACUUCAUGCCAGCAGCCGCGGUAAUACGAAGGUGGCAAGCGUUAUUCGGAUUUACUGGGCGUACAGGGAGCGUAGGCGGUUCGGUAAGCCCUCUGUGAAAUCUCCAGGCUUAACCUGGAACAGUCGGAGGGGACUGCUGGGCUAGAGGACGGGAGAGGAGCGCGGAAUUCCCGGUGUAGCGGUGAAGUGCGUAGAGAUCGGGAGGAAGGCCGGUGGCGAAGGCGGCGCUCUGGAACGUAUCUGACGCUGAGGCUCGAAAGCGUGGGGAGCAAACAGGAUUAGAUACCCUGGUAGUCCACGCCUUAAACCAUGAAUACUAAGUGUCGGCGGGUUACCGCCGGUGCCGCAGCUAACGCAUUAAGUAUUCCGCCUGGGAAGUACGGCCGCAAGGCUGAAACUCAAAGGAAUUGACGG
This 573-nucleotide ribosomal RNA is filed under the name uncultured bacterium. RNAcentral describes it as "bacterial SSU rRNA". It matches the Rfam family "Bacterial small subunit ribosomal RNA", at positions 338 to 916 of the family's 1533-position model. The record is from RNAcentral.